Molecule: microRNA, 22 nt
Filed under: Oreochromis niloticus (Nile tilapia)
Lineage: Eukaryota; Metazoa; Chordata; Actinopteri; Cichliformes; Cichlidae
Description: oni-miR-10855
Source: miRBase by way of RNAcentral
UUCGGGUUCAGGUUCUCCGGCU